ACAGGUUACAUAUGCUUCACUUUCGAUAUUACUUACACUCAUUCACACUUGCCCUCGCCGAUGUUUCUUAAAACAAAAUGGCGGACAAACUCCACCAUUUUAACUUCAUUAACGAGGGCCUGCCUUUCAUUUAUUCCUCCCACCUUUCACUAACGUCACGUACAUUUCACACAAGUGCCAUCUCUUCACGUUGAAUUACAUACAUAUUUACUUGCGUGCCUAUGUGUGUCUCACUGCAUGCUUAUGCCUGUCUCAUUAUCAUCACCAUCAGCGCAAUUACAAAAAUUACCACACGGACAAUGCAUUACAUGAAGUUUUGCAUGAUCUCCUCAUUCACCUGCACUUUCGUCUUCUUAUUAGAUGUGUCAGUUUCGGAUAAUCCAGCUCUUUCCAUUUUUACCAACGCAGCUCUAUCGUGCUCCGCUCCACCUUUACCACACUAGCCCCCUCUGUAUGGUGAUUUAUCACUAGAAUCAUGUUUUUCCGAUUACCUUUUUGUGCAUCUGUUCAUUCUUGCAGGUGUCACAUACACUUAAUUAACUACGCACCUUCAUUGUCUUCUAAUCUUGCACUCGCCAUCAUUUUUACUACACAUGCCGGCAUCACAUUCUCCUUUUUUCAUUGCUUGCAAACGGCUGCCUUUCAUUUAUUACUCGCCUCUGUGCCUUACGUUACGUACUGUCUACUAUUACAAAUUAUCAUUAGCUUUCAUACCAUUACAAUUCGGAUGUGUUUACGCUGCACCACACACCCACACAACAGAGUUACAUUCCCCCUCAUGGCCAACAACGAUACCGAUUCUAUUAAACUAUCCUCAGCCUCCCCUACGUCCACUCACCCUCUCAUGAGUACCUCAUACCUUUGUAAUCAUCGCCACUGCUGGACGCCCGCACGCGCGUGCGCCUUUCCGCCCUUCAUAGCUGACACUCGCUAACUGCCCUUGCCCCAGCAACCUGUUACGCCACUAUGGGGGAUAUGCGUCUUUGUAUGUUUCACACCUUCCGACCACACUUGCAUAACUGACGGCUCGCGCUACACCAUAUAUAUCUCUCCCUCCAUAUAUAUUCAGACAACAAAAACACCCCUCCCCCCACCCUUUCACUUUAUUUACUGUUGCACAAAGUGCUGUUAAUGACCACCUAUAAAGACGGCUACGGCACACCAGGGGGUGGGUGGCCAACACCACGGCCGCCCGCCAUUGACUCCCCAUUGACGAUGGUUACACACCGCUACAGCUAUUGCAUUUAACGCUGAGUCGCACUAGGGGAGGCCCACGAUCGCUUUACAUUCCCAUCACCGCUGUCGGCCCUGACCAACAAUCUCAAAUAACUUGGCACGUUCGUUGCGCGCCACGCUAACCACCACACACACACGCAGCGCCGAGUGCGUGUGUGCUAAUGACGUCCCGACGCGAGGGCCGCAUGCUUUGUGUGCCGCCACUGUUGCAGAGCAGCUGAGGGACCGACUGGAGCACGUGGGCGGGCAGACGAUCAUACUGGCGGACGUGCACGAGACCAGCAGAGGAGCCGCCUGGAGGACACGAGCCAGAUGAAGAUUGUCCAAGCAGCCGUGGUCGAGGUGGACCAAGAUACAUGCAUGAGAGGACUCAAGAUGCCAUGACCUAUAUCAGUCAAUAUGGCAGGCCCGAUCUCUUCAUCACCUUCACUUGCAAUCUUAAAUGGAAAGAGGUACAGGUUGAUCUUCGAUUUAAAGCUUUUGUGACUGCAGGGAUUCAUCU
This is a long non-coding RNA of Petromyzon marinus (sea lamprey), 1738 nucleotides long. RefSeq lists it as uncharacterized. Lineage: Eukaryota; Metazoa; Chordata; Hyperoartia; Petromyzontiformes; Petromyzontidae. The record is from RefSeq and is a predicted model, not a curated record.